GUGGGCAAAAUAAGGUUUUAGGUCAGCGAUAUUAGCUUUAUAUUUUAUUUUAUUUUUAAGCAAAUAUAUCUAAUAUCUUUUAAGACUGUAUAUAAACAUUUGUUUUUAUGGUUAGCCCAGUUUCUCGUCGAUCAAGAAGUCACCUUAGAAAAAGCUUCAUUGCGAAUACCAGGCCGAAAUUUAGACAACAAACAAGAGUAGACUCGUCCUGGGUUAUAGAGCCGGGAAAAAAGCGAGUGGAAGCUGAAGGGAAACUGGUUGAUGCAGCUUUAAGUUUAGCAGAGGCUGCCCAUACGCAUGCGAACGCUGCACAACUUCAAGCUAGAAUAAAUGCAUCUCAGCAUAAAAUGUUAGAUAAAUUAAUCAACAGCAUUGUUAAAAAUAAAUAAAUUAAUAUUGUUUUA
Bombyx mori (domestic silkworm) is the source of this 404-nucleotide long non-coding RNA. RefSeq lists it as uncharacterized. The record is from RefSeq and is a predicted model, not a curated record. The transcript is spliced from 2 exons. NCBI's taxonomy places the organism in Eukaryota, Metazoa, Arthropoda, Insecta, Lepidoptera, Bombycidae.